This is a non-coding RNA of Coturnix japonica (Japanese quail), 1456 nucleotides long. The record is from RefSeq and is a predicted model, not a curated record. NCBI's taxonomy places the organism in Eukaryota, Metazoa, Chordata, Aves, Galliformes, Phasianidae.
UUAGUAAGCCAGACCUUUUGGCCAGUUAACAGCAUUCAGUGAGGCAGGCUACUCAGACUUUUCUAUGUGCACAAGGUGAGCAAAUGCAGAGGCUCUGAUGCCCCAUUUCAUGGCAGCCGAGUAACAUCUGCCAAAUUCAGUCAUCCAAUCCAGUUCCAAGGCAGAGCAGCAAAUAGACAUCAGGUGCUCGCAUUUUGCUGCUACAAGCUGCAUCUUUAGAAAGAUCUUUGAACAUAAUACCAGCUCUCUAGAAAGCUGUAAUCAGCUCCACAGUGCUCAGCUGAAACCCGUAAGCCAUUUGCACCAACUAACAUAUCCCUCAGCACCAGCAGAUGCUUUCUCAAUGGCUUUGCUCAGGCUUGCUAUGUGCCUGAGGUGAGUGCUCUCUGUGCAGCCAACGAGGCAGGAGGUGCCCAGGAGGAGCCCUGGCUGUGCUCCCAGCAUCAGGAAGCAUCUAGUCUAUGUCCAGGCUGAGUCUCUGCACCUACUGCCAUGACUUUCCACGGUCAGCCCUCGGUGUUGCUCCCCAGAUGUCUGCUGCUUGAAGAUGCUGCACAAAACUGAGGCCUUUAGGAUUUUAAACUGUGCAGGAGCCUUCCAGCUGCUCCAUACCCACCCGGGGAACAGGAAGAGACUUGCACCCAAGGGACUGGGCAAGAGAGGUGGGAGCCUAGCAGCACUGAACCAGGGUUUGCCCUGGGUACAUAGGGAAAAACCAUAGCGGUAUUGCAGAGUGAUGUAAAGCACCGAGAACCCACAACUGCCAAGAUCUUUGGAACAAAUGUGCAUCCUCAAGGAAGCAGUCGAGAGGAACGCAGAGCGGAUGUCAACAGGUGACCUCACUAUGCAGUUACCCAAAGACCCAGACCUGGCUUGAAGACUUGGCUAAAGGGAAAACAGGAAUCAUAUGGGACAGAGGUUGCGAGGGGCAGGAGGACAUGUUCUAGGGGAGAAGAUAAAGCUGGAAUCAGCAAGGCACUGGAGAAAACUCCCCUUCUUUAAUCAGUGACUCCCAGAAGAGUAGGGAGAACCUUCUCUUGAAGCAGGAGAUCUGGAUAGGAGACAGAGGGCUCCCAAGCUUUGUAAUGGGACUAGAAGGUCAUGCCAAACAAGCAGGUUAUAUGUAUAUAUAUAUAUAUAUAUAUAUGUAUGUAUAUAUGUAUAUAUAUGUAUAUAUGUUUUUCCUGCUUCUCCUUCUAUGUGGCCUCUGCAUGACAGUGCAGUGAAAAGCAACUUGACCAGGGAAUACAUUGCUUUGAGCAGAGGCACCCUUAGCUACUCAUGUCUUUGGCAAUAAAUUAGUGACAGGGUAAAUAAGUGUCCUUUCUGGAGCUGGGCUAAGUUAUCCAGGUCUUCCCUGGUGGAGUCACUGUGGAUGGUCCCACUGGCGGGCUGGGGGACAAAAAGCUGUGCUGACCAUGCAACCUUUUGGCAGGUUAGCUCUGCCCAUGUGUGU